GAGUUUGAUUAUGGCUCAGAUUGAACGCUGGCGGCAGGCUUAACACAUGCAAGUCGAACGGUAGCAGGAGAAAGCUUGCUUUCUUGCUGACGAGUGGCGGACGGGUGAGUAAUGCUUGGGAAUCUGGCUUAUGGAGGGGGAUAACCAUUGGAAACGAUGGCUAAUACCGCGUAAUAUCGGAAGAUUAAAGACUGGGACUUUAGCCAGUUGCCAUAAGAUGAGCCCAAGUGGGAUUAGGUAGUUGGUGGGGUAAAGGCCUACCAAGCCAUCGAUCUCUAGCUGGUCUGAGAGGAUGACCAGCCACACUGGAACUGAGACACGGUCCAGACUCCUACGGGAGGCAGCAGUGGGGAAUAUUGCGCAAUGGGGGCAACCCUGACGCAGCCAUGCCGCGUGAAUGAAGAAGGCCUUCGGGUUGUAAAGUUCUUUCGGUGAUGAGGAAGGUUGUGAUGUUAAUAGCAUGACAAAUGACGUAUCCCNAAGC
RNAcentral lists this ribosomal RNA (484 nucleotides) under Pasteurellaceae bacterium canine oral taxon 272. RNAcentral describes it as "bacterial SSU rRNA". It matches the Rfam family "Bacterial small subunit ribosomal RNA", at positions 9 to 488 of the family's 1533-position model. The record is from RNAcentral. Lineage: Bacteria; Pseudomonadati; Pseudomonadota; Gammaproteobacteria; Pasteurellales; Pasteurellaceae.